Molecule: ribosomal RNA, 250 nt
Filed under: uncultured bacterium
Lineage: Bacteria
Description: partial 16S ribosomal RNA
Rfam family: Bacterial small subunit ribosomal RNA
Source: RNAcentral
UACGGAGGGUGCAAGCGUUAUCCGGAUUUACUGGGUUUAAAGGGUGCGCAGGCGGACUUGUAAGUCAGAGGUGAAAUCUCCGGGCUCAACUCGGAAACUGCCUUUGAUACUAUAAGUCUUGAAUGCUGUUGAGGUCAACGGAAUAUGUCAUGUAGCGGUGAAAUGCAUAGAUAUGACAUGGAACACCGAUUGCGGAGGCGGUUGACUAAAGAGCGAUUGACGCUGAGGCACGAAAGCGUGGGUAGCAAAC